Molecule: ribosomal RNA, 190 nt
Filed under: uncultured marine bacterium SN1
Lineage: Bacteria
Description: partial 16S rRNA
Rfam family: Bacterial small subunit ribosomal RNA
Source: RNAcentral
CCUACGGGAGGCAGCAGUGAGGAAUAUUGGACAAUGGAGGCAACUCUGAUCCAGCCAUGCCGCGUGCAGGAAGACUGCCCUAUGGGUUGUAAACUGCUUUUAUACAGGAAGAAACCUACUUACGUGUAAGNAGCUGACGGUACUGUAAGAAUAAGGAUCGGCUAACUCCGUGCCAGCAGCCGCGGUAAUA